AUGUAUCUAGUUAUGGCAUAAAC
This 23-nucleotide small nuclear RNA is filed under the name Arabidopsis thaliana (thale cress). RNAcentral describes it as "snRNA_03562". The record is from RNAcentral. Lineage: Eukaryota; Viridiplantae; Streptophyta; Magnoliopsida; Brassicales; Brassicaceae.